This 695-nucleotide long non-coding RNA is filed under the name Solanum tuberosum (potato). RNAcentral describes it as "long non-coding RNA (STUB_LNC009562)". The record is from RNAcentral. Lineage: Eukaryota; Viridiplantae; Streptophyta; Magnoliopsida; Solanales; Solanaceae.
GACCAAACACAUUGACAUUGACUGUCAUUUUAUAAGAGAAAAAAUUCAGAAAGGACUAGUCAGAACAUAAUAUAUAUCAACCAAAGAUCAGCCAACAUAUAUCCUUACAAAAAGCUUAAGUAGGCUACAACAUAAAGUUCUCAUGUCCAAGCUAGGAAUGUUUAAUCUAUUUAUCACUCCUAGCUUGAGGGGGGCUGUUGGAAAGAAUGACAAUGUAAGGCCCAAUGCAAAUUGUGGCCCAAUACACUAAUAUGGCCCAUAUACUUAGGUAGUUAAAUUAGUUAACUAUAAAUACCCUCAUUGUAUUCUUAACGAAAGUAAGAGGUCUUCUUGACUCUAUACAUGUUGAUUCAAUAAUAUUUCCUCUUCUCCUCUUCUCGUAAGUUCUUCAUUCUUAUCCUCAUUCUUGAGGAUCUUGAGUAUAAUAGUAAUUCAGUUCAUGCAACUUCCAAACUUGUGAUGAUCUGCAAAAUUAAUUAACAAGUAAUUAGGAGCAUGUGUUGAAAUAAUAAAAAGAUUAAAAUGGUGUUAGACGACGUUACGUACCAUAUUUGUUGAUGAGAAAUUUGUAACAAUGACCAAGAGAACAUCCAACAUUAGAAAUUUGUAACAAUGACCAAAACAACAACUGAUAAGACAUGCACUCAGAGCGUGUUCGUUUCCUCCACACAUUCCGCUGCACAUUUGUCCAUGUC